AGUCCAAGGUGAUGUAUUUAACGGUUUGUUUUAUCAGUCCAAAACCCAAAGAUAUAACAUUUUUCUGCCAUUUUUGCAUGAAAAAUCACUUUAACGAUUAAUCGAUUAUCAAUAGUUGGCGAUUAUUUGUCUGUUGAUCAACUAGUCGACUUAAUGUUGCAGCUCUACCUGAAACUAAGAAUCGUUGUUUUCGUUAGCUUGGAAUGAGCCCUUCAUAUCUACAUAGAGAGCGGGUCCUCUUCACGGAGUCCGCCAUGUUUCUACAGUAGCCCGGACAAACCAAACACUGACUCUAGAGAGAGCCUUUUGCGUUAUCUGAAGGCCACCGUAGUUCUGCGACACGCUUAGAAAAGAAAUCAGCGCAGGGGGUAUUCAGUUGGUUGCAAUCUGCAAUCUCGCCACUAGAUGCCACUAAAUCCCACACACUACUCCUUUAAAGGGACACUCCACCAAGUUAGACAUGAUUUGAUUUGAAAAUGUUAAAAGUAGCAUCAUUUUUUCUGUAUUUCACAAUAAUGCAUCAUUUCACUUAUGUUACUUUUCAGUUGACAGCAUACUGUGACCUCUGUACCACUGCAUUAGACUUUUUGUUUUGUCUGGAGGGCAAAGGGAGAGCUUGUAACCACUCUUCAAACAUUUUGUGACUGUUCGCUUGCCUGAGCAGAAACAUUGAAAUGGAACAACUUUUAUCGUUUUUAAAAAUAGCUGUCAGGUGAGUUCUUCAGGUAGGGAAGUGGCUCAGUGGGACAUAUGAUAGAUAAAAUAAAAGAUAAAGAUUAACCUCUUACAAGUCAUAAACAUGCAGUGUUUGAACAAGCCAUUUUGCCUGUUUCUCAGUUAGACGCUGAGCAGUGCCUGCCUUUAGCCUGUAUAUAGACUCUGAUCAUUGUUGUACAGCAAAGAUAAUUGUUUGAAAUUGUUCAUCCAGCUUUGUCACCAACCACAGUGGAGGACAGAGGACAGAAACAUGUCAGCCGCAGACUAAAUUGCCUUGAAUUUAUGCUGGCAGCUCCCUGCUGGAGUCCCCAUUAGGCCUGACAGUCUGCGUGGUAAAAACAUUGUGGCUACAUUCACACUGCAGCUCAAAUUGCACAGUUUAGAUAUUCCCCCACAUCACAUGUGACAUAUCAGAUUUUUGUCUGAGCACUGUGAACAUCAGACAAAUCCCACAGCUGGUGGUGCAUUUGGUUUCCUGCUCCCAUGGAUCAUAUGUAAGAAAUCAUAUCCAGCAGCAUGCUCGAGACAUUUAUCUGAACUCUAAAAUGAAUCUGAGACAUUUGUGAUAUGUUUGACUACAUUUCUGAGCAGUGUAAAGCAGCGUGACCCCCAACAGAUCACAAUUUCCCCCCGUUUCAAACUUUUGGUCAUUUAAGUUUUGAAAUUUCAAAGAUCCAGAUAGAAAAUUCAAGUGUCCAGGGUUUCCAAUCUGAACUUGACUCAUGUGACUGACAUAAUGUAACCUGAUGGGACGGAGGUUUGAUCGGUUCCAGUCAGGCUUGACUGCUUAUCUUUGGUAGCCUGAAUGCUCCAGUUUCAACUUUUCAUCUUGAAUUUUGUUGCUUGUCUGAAACCAACUUGAAAAACUUGAAUUUUGAGCUGAAUUUUAAGAUCUGCAAAAUGACUGAAUUUGAAAAACUUGUUUGUUUUAUAAAUAUUGGACACUUGAAUUUUAUGUCUAUCGACCUUUAGAGUGGUGCAGUGAUGACGUAUUUUUGUAGGCCAACCAGGAAGUUAGCAUCGCCCGGAGAGAGAGCAGCGAUGGUGGAGCGAGCUGUAGAGUGACUGAAGAGAGAGAACGGCGUUAGUGAGAGCAAAGCAGCAAAUCGGAGAAAUAAAACGUAAUUUUCUGAUUUGUUUCCUGGUGGUUACGUUCUAAAGCACAAAUAAACACACAACUAUCUCCGCAUAACUCUGCGGGAAGGUGCCGAGUUACCGGAUUUUGAAUGAAUGCAGGCUUCCUGUCUGCUGGCUGUGGUUCAAUGCUGCUCUCGUAAAAAGACACACACCGAGCAUAGCUGCACUCACAGCACAGAGAGGAUCCGGGGGACCACGGGAAUACAUUACACAACCUGUUCUCAUCCGUGAAACGUUUUGUAUCUCCGAGCUAAAGGGGGACUUUUGGGUUGGUAUCAGAAGCUGAGGGGCGUGUCAAAGCGGCGGUAUUUGACUACCUGGAGGGGCUGCACACCCUGCAUGCUGUUAUUGGCUGGGGGUUACACCCCCACGUGGGACCCAAAGACUGGUUGCAGACGCCCAGCAGCGUCCCAAGUAAAGCAAAAUAAGAAGAAAAGAGGAAAUCCAAACAGAGGGCAGCAGGGUCUCUGCAGGAACAGACACCAACACACAAUUCUAUUGGGGCAUAAGUGAUGAUUGAGAGGGAUUAUUUUUGUAUCAGUCUAUACAUUGUUUUUUUUUGUAAAUUCUUGCAUAUUAUACCUUAAAGGAACUCUCAG
This is a long non-coding RNA of Sebastes umbrosus (honeycomb rockfish), 2453 nucleotides long. RefSeq lists it as uncharacterized. The transcript is spliced from 2 exons. The record is from RefSeq and is a predicted model, not a curated record. Lineage: Eukaryota; Metazoa; Chordata; Actinopteri; Perciformes; Sebastidae.